CAAAGGCCCAUCCGGCCAGCCCAAGUCAUCACCCGAUCUCACCCUCGGCUCUCCUCACGAUUCACGGGACAGCAACCUCCCGUUCCCCAUUCUCUCCCACGACAAACCCUAGCCGCCGGCCGCCGCUGUGGCCCGAUGCCACUCUCCCCGUGAGACCGUGAUGACGGCCGCACCAAGGUGCCGCACGCCCUGAUCGAUGAAUCCCGACGCCCCGAGCCGCCCUCAGGACCGGUGACGACCACGACCAGCAUCCAAGCCAUCAACCGCCGUGCCCCGUGCAUCACGCUAUGCGUCGCUCCAUUGCUUGUGACGCGGCCAUCCAUCCCCGACCACCAUCUAAGCUGGAGUUCUUCACCAUCUUGUCCUCUUCCAUGCUGGUCGCCGGCUGGCCGCCUACUGUCCUUUUCAGUGCUCCACCUCGCAUCUAAAGCAAGAAGGCAUGCUCCUCCGUCUUAGGAUUUCAUCAUUCCACAAAGCCACGUCCGCGUCAUUGCAUAGCGGAGGUCUGAGAUUCGUAUGCCCUUGAUUGCUGAGAUGUGGCCGGCGAUUGAGAACCUAGAAGAGUCCAUCAGCAUAUGUCGCCGAACGAUGGCUGGGCAGUUGUAGUCAUUGGCAGUGAGGAGCAUCGGUAAUGGCUGGCUGCUGCUGCACUCGACAUUGAUGUUCAGGUGGAUAUGCAAGUAUAAUGUACGCACAUGAUCAAUCUAUGUCCACAUCGUCAACAUUAUAAGCAUUAGUGGACCGUAUAUGCAUUUGCAUGAUUGAGCCAUCUCAGCUAAGCAAUGAAGCAAAAGUUCAUGUGCUCAUUGCUAAGCCGCUUGCAGACUUGAGUAUGAAAAGCAACUGAUCGUCAACUACCUGCAGAAUGUACUGCACCCGCGAGGAAUAUACUGGCCGUCUCGAUGUUUGGUAGCAGUCCAGGGCGGCUGCUGUUUCAGUUGGUAGUAGGGGUGCUGUCAGCAGUAUAUAUAGUGCUGAUUUUCUAUUUUAAGAUCUUCAUGUGAAUCUUGUUGCUGGUGAAGUGGUGAUUAUAUAUACUUCUGAUUUUCUUUUUAAGAUUUUCAUGUGUUGUACUGUUUUCCAUGCAGAUUGCAUACAAGUGUUACUU
RNAcentral lists this ribosomal RNA (1108 nucleotides) under Triticum aestivum (bread wheat). RNAcentral's name for it is "partial small subunit ribosomal RNA". Lineage: Eukaryota; Viridiplantae; Streptophyta; Magnoliopsida; Poales; Poaceae. The record is from RNAcentral.